This 497-nucleotide ribosomal RNA is filed under the name uncultured bacterium. RNAcentral describes it as "partial 16S ribosomal RNA". It matches the Rfam family "Bacterial small subunit ribosomal RNA", at positions 28 to 507 of the family's 1533-position model. The record is from RNAcentral.
GAUGAACGCUGGCGGCGUGCCUAAUACAUGCAAGUCGAGCGGACGGACGCGGAUCUUGCUUCUCUCUUGUUUGCGGAGCACGUGUGAGUAACGCGUGGAUAACCUCCCUAUAAGACUGGUAUCACUUCGGGAAACCGGCGCUUAUACCGGAUAAUAUUUUGAUCCGCAUGGUUCGAAAGUGAGAGUCGGUCUUGCUGUCACUUCUAGAUGGUUCCGCGCUGCAUUGGCUAGUUGGUAAGUUAAAGGCUUAUCAAGGCAAGGAUGCGUAGCCGACGGAAGAGGGUGAUAGGCGACAGUGGAGCGUAGCCGCGGACAAGACCCCUGCGGGAGGGAGCAGUAGGGAACCUGCGGCAGUGGGCGAAAACCUGACAGAGCGACGCCGAGUGAGUGAUGAAGAUCUUCGGAUCGUAAAACUCUGUUAUGAGGGAAAAACAGAUGUGUAAGUAAAUGUGCACAGCUUGACGGUAACUAAUCAGGAAGCAACGGCUAACUACGUG